CCCUUAGAUGUUCUGGGCCGCACGCGCGCUACACUGAUGCAUGCAACAAGUCUUUUCCUUGGCCGAGAGGCCUGGGCAAUCUUUGAAUAUGCAUCGUGAUGGGGAUAGACGAUUGCAAUUAUUCGUCUUCAACGAGGAAUUCCUAGUAAACGCAAGUCAUCAGCUUGCAUUGAUUACGUCCCUGCCCUUUGUACACACCGCCCGUCGCACCUACCGAUUGAAUGGUCCGGUGAAGGCUUCGGAGGCGGCUUGGUCGCUUGCGUCCGACUGCUGAAACUUGAUUAAACCAUAUCAUUUAGAGGAAGGUGAAGUCGUAACA
Molecule: ribosomal RNA, 319 nt
Filed under: uncultured eukaryote
Lineage: Eukaryota
Description: partial 18S ribosomal RNA
Rfam family: Eukaryotic small subunit ribosomal RNA
Source: RNAcentral